RNAcentral lists this ribosomal RNA (496 nucleotides) under uncultured bacterium. RNAcentral describes it as "partial 16S ribosomal RNA". It matches the Rfam family "Bacterial small subunit ribosomal RNA", at positions 28 to 507 of the family's 1533-position model. The record is from RNAcentral.
GAUGAACGCUGGCGGCGUGCCUAAUACAUGCAAGUCGAGCGAACGGACGAGAAGCUUGCUGCUCUGAUGUUAGCGGCGGACGGGUGAGUAACACGUGGAUAACCUACCUAUAAGACUGGGAUAACUUCGGGAAACCGUAGCUAAUACCGGAUAAUAUUUUGAACCGCAGGGUUCAAUAGUGAAAGACGGUCUUGCUGUCACUUAUAGAUGGAUCCGCGCUGCAUUAGCUAGUUGGGAAGGUAACGGCUUACCAAGGCAACGAUGCAUAGCCGACCUGAGGGGGGGUAGGCCGCCUGUGAGAGUGACACACGAUCCAGGCUCCUAGGUGAGGCAGAGGUAGGUAAUCUACGGAAAAGGGGGAAAGCUUGACGAAGCAACGCAGGGCGGGUGAAGCAGGGCUGCGGGUCGUAAAACUCUCUUAUUGGGGAAGACCAUAUUUGUAAGUAACUGUGCACGACUGACGGGAACCUAUUAAGAAGCCCCGGCUAACUUCCGG